Molecule: ribosomal RNA, 609 nt
Filed under: Inocybe sp.
Lineage: Eukaryota; Fungi; Basidiomycota; Agaricomycetes; Agaricales; Inocybaceae
Description: LSU rRNA
Rfam family: Eukaryotic large subunit ribosomal RNA
Source: RNAcentral
UCCCUUAGUAACUGCGAGUGAAGUGGGAAAAGCUCAAAUUUGAAAUCUGGCGGCUCUUUACCGUCCGAGUUGUAAUCUAGAGAAGUGCUACCUGUGCUGGACCGUGUACAAGUCUCCUGGAAUGGAGCAUCACAGAGGGUGAGAAUCCCGUCUUUGACACGGACUGCCUGUGCGGUUAUGGUGUGCUCUCAAAGAGUCGAGUUGUUUGGGAAUGCAGCUCAAAAUGGGUGGUAAAUGCCAUCUAAAGCUAAAUAUUGGCAAGAGACCGAUAGCGAACAAGUACCGUGAGGGAAAGAUGAAAAGAACUUUGGAAAGAGAGUUAAACAGUACGUGAAAUUGCUGAAAGGGAAACGCUUGAAGUCAGUCGCAUUGGCUAGAAAUCAACCUUGCUUUUGCUUGGUGUACUUUCUGGUUGAUGGGUCAGCAUCAAUUUUGACCACUGGAUAAAGUCUUUGGGAAUGUGGCAUCUUUUGAUGUGUUAUAGCCCAUCGUCGCAUACAAGUGGUUGGGAUUGAGGAACUCAGCAUGCUGCAAAGGCCGGGUUUUGAACCACAUUCAUGCUUANGAUGCUGGCAUAAUGGCUUUAAUCGACCCGUCUUGAAACACGGA